AUGGGACGGCCCGCUGGGCUGUUCCCGCCCCUAUGCCCUUUUUUGGGUUUCCGGCCAGAGGCAUGCUGGGAGCGUCACAUGCAAAUUGAGCGUGCACCCAGCGUUCCGCCCUUUCUACGCUGGGCCGGUUAUCGACCCGGCCCAGUGCGCAGGCGCGGGAAAGUUGAACUAAUAAAGUUUGUACGAGUUCAGUGGAGGAGACCGCAAGUUGAGUGGAGGAGGCGGCGGUGGGGCCCCGGACCAGGUCAGCGGGGUGUUGACGAGGGGUGGGGUGAGGAGGGAAGAGGAGGGGGCCGGGAUCCAGUGGUGGGCACCCCAGUCCCGCUUCUCUGAUAUCCAAGGGUCCAGGGUCCUCUAGAUUCCAGCAGGGGUCGGAGAUUUGGAACUACACCUCACAGCAGGCUGCGCGGCGAAGAAGCGCGGACCUAGGGGAAGAUUUGCCCUGAAACCUCUUGGGAUUGGUAGUUCCCGAUGCUUUAAGGGUUUCAGGAGUUUGGCAUAUGCCUCUUAUAGAAUCCAGGAGUUGGGGCGCUAAGCCUCUUCUUCCUGGGAGACCUAAGGGUCUGGGGCUCCAGUUCCUUUUUCUCUAAGACUCAGAAGUCCAGGACCCCAGCUCCCUCCUCCUUUAGACCCACGAAUCUGGGCACCCAGCCCCACCACCUUUCCUUGGAUCGAAGAGUCUUUUUCCUGAUCGCUUUUUCGUCUGAGGACUCAAGAGUCUAGGCCCCCAGACCCACACUCUCCAAAGGACCCAGGAGUCCAGGCCCUCAGCACCUUCCUUGGGACUCACAAGUCCUGGUCCCCAAGCCUCCACUUCUUGCUAAACCCUUGGAGUCCAGUCCCUAACCCUCUCUCUCACAGGUGCCUCCAUGGCAGGCUCUGAAGAGCUGGGGCUCCGGGAAGACACGCUGAGGGUCCUAGCUGCCUUCCUUAGGCGUGGUGAGGCUGCCGGGUCUCCUGUUCCAACUCCACCUAGGCCCAGCUACUCCAGACUUCUAUGCUUUGGUGGCCCAGCGGCUGGAACAGCUGGUCCAAGAGCAGCUGAAAUCUCCGCCCAGCCCAGAAUUACAGGGUCCCCCAUCGACAGAGAAGGAAGCCAUACUGCGGAGGCUGGUGGCCCUGCUGGAGGAGGAGGCAGAAGUCAUUAACCAGAAGCUGGCCUCGGACCCCGCCCUGCGCAGCAAGCUGGUCCGCCUGUCCUCCGACUCUUUCGCCCGCCUGGUGGAGCUGUUCUGUAGCCGGGAUGACAGCUCUCGCCCAAGCCGAGCAUGCCCCGGGCCCCCGCCUCCUUCCCCGGAGCCCCUGGCCCGCCUGGCCCUAGCCAUGGAGCUGAGCCGGCGCGUGGCCGGGCUGGGGGGCACCCUGGCCGGACUCAGCGUGGAGCACGUGCACAGCUUCACGCCCUGGAUCCAGGCCCACGGGGGCUGGGAGGGCAUCCUGGCUGUUUCACCCGUGGACUUGAACUUGCCAUUGGACUGAGCUCUUUCUCAGAAGCUGCUACAAGAUGACACCUCAUGUCCCUGCCCUCUUCGUGUGCUUUUCCAAGUCUUCCUAUUCCACUCAGGGCUGUGGGGUGGUGGUUGCCCUACCUGUUUUUGCCAAAAAUAAAUUGUUUAAAACUUUUCUUAUUAAAAACGUUACAAAGUA
This 1647-nucleotide unclassified non-coding RNA is filed under the name Homo sapiens (human). RNAcentral describes it as "BCL2-like 12 (proline rich), transcript variant 61". Lineage: Eukaryota; Metazoa; Chordata; Mammalia; Primates; Hominidae. The record is from RNAcentral.